This is a long non-coding RNA of Astatotilapia calliptera (eastern happy), 499 nucleotides long. NCBI's taxonomy places the organism in Eukaryota, Metazoa, Chordata, Actinopteri, Cichliformes, Cichlidae. The record is from Ensembl.
GCUGGAGUGUGUGGUGACGAAAGAACUUCCUGAGUGUGUGUGUGACUGUGACUUUCAGGAAGAGGAAGCAUAGCAGAGACGAGAAGUGCAGAUUGGGGCCUGCAACAGUGAAUAACGGCGCUGAAAAUUCUCGGGAGGAGCAAAUAUAAGGGGGCUUUCCAGAUUACAAUUGGCUGAGGAGAAAGCUACCUGUGGGGACUGAUCAAGGUCAAGAUCUCGGCGACCACAGGAGGGGCGAGGAUCCUGGAGAUCUCGAGGUUCGAGACCACCAGAGAGGGGUCUGCGUGAGGACACAAUGUAUUGUGACCUCUGGUGUUCCAGAGGUCAAAAGGGGGAGUGUCGAGGAGGGAAAUUAUUUUACUGCUAUUGUUAAAUAAUUGUCAUUGCAUUAAUAAUAUAAUCUGCAGCAUGGAUAUUGCAUUCCAAGGUUUAAACAGUGUCUCUUUCAGAAAGACUGAGUUGCAGGCUGACAGGAAGUUGUAUGCAGAAGUGAAACCAG